This is a long non-coding RNA of Amphibalanus amphitrite, 165 nucleotides long. RefSeq lists it as uncharacterized. NCBI's taxonomy places the organism in Eukaryota, Metazoa, Arthropoda, Thecostraca, Balanomorpha, Balanidae. The record is from RefSeq and is a predicted model, not a curated record. The transcript has 3 exons.
GCACCACCGGCUCCGGGACCAAUCACGCCACCAGCGUCCGUCCGCCAUCACCACCGUCCCCAGCAUCACCAUCACCAGCAUCAGCACCUCCACCAGCACCAUCGGCUCCGGGAUCAAGCCCGCCACCAGCCUCCAUCAUUAACCAGCACCACCACCAGCACCACC